UUCAGUUGCCUUUAAAGAGGCCGCAGAGAGCUGAAAAACAAAUCCAAGUUUAAAGAGACAAGUGCAAAAAUGCAAACCGGGCAAGGGGACAGAGCCACCAGCUGGACUAAAUGUGCCUGGAGAAGCGCGUCCUCUGCUUGGCAGGAAGAACCCGUCGGCCCCCAUCCCCUGCAUCCCCCACAUGUCCUGUAUGACAGCGGUUCGAAACCUGGGAUUACGCGUCCGUGGACGUCUCCGUGGCCCCGGUUCCGCGUGGGGCGUGCGGGGAGGCCUCCGAAUGAGUGAAUACGGAUGUGGGAGCCUGCACGGUGCCAUCUAUGGAACUUACUACGCUCCAAACGCUAAACCUUCCGAUCGUGUAAGGAAUAGAUCGUCAGCUCCGUCAUACCAAAGAAGAAACUGGAACUGAGAGGGAAGACGGCUUAGCCGAGGUCACUCAGCUGGUAAGACGGUGAGCCGAGAUGCGAACCCGGGUCUGGGCCACUUGCAGUUCAGCAGGCUUCCCCGAGCUCCUUCCCUUCUCCUCCAAACGUGCACCGUCCCGCGCCAAGCGUGCAGAGAGGAGGCACUCUGGGCAGCUGAAUCUCUCAACAGCUGGAGCUGGUACCCCGUUGUCCAGAUUCAAGUCAGACACUGCACAAUCCGGACUCCUCUGGCCGGCUGAAGUCCUCCUCUUAGGAGCCUAGGAUCCUGCCGGCUUUGAAAAACUGCUACUCUGCCAAGAGACUGUUGAAGUCAAGUUCUUUUCUUUCUUUCUUUUUCUUUUUCUCUUUCUUUCUUUCAGAUUUUUUUAUUCAUGAGAGACACACAGAGAGAGAGGCAGAGAUACAGGCAGAGGGAGAAGCAGGAUCCCUGCAGGAGCCCGAUGGGGGACCCCAGGAUCACACCCUGAGCUGAAGGGAGACGCUCAGCCACUGAGCCACCCGGGCGUCCCUGUUGAGGUCAAUUUCUAAACGUGCGUGGGGUAGAGACAGGAAUGAAAGAGACCUAAGUUCUUCAUUUCACCCCAACAGAUUGUCUCAUCGACAGGGAAGGGGUUCUGACCAUCAAGAGUCUACUCCCCCCAACUGAGGGAAAACAGAAAAGAGCUCACAUCUACUAUCUCAACCCAUAAGCUAGGAUAUGCUUUGAGAGGGAGCAUGGGGGGGCGGGGGGGGGGUAGCCUGGGUGGCUCAGUUGGUUGCACGUCCGACUCUUGAUUUAGGCUCAAGUCAUGACCUCAGGGUGGUGAGAUCGAGCCCUGCAUCAGGCUCCAUGCUCGGCAGGGAGUCUGCUUGCUAUUCCCUCCUGCCUCUCCCUAGCUUGCUUGUUUGCUGACAAAUAAAAUCUUUAACAAAAAAGGAGGGCAGCUCCGGUGGCUCAGGGGUUUAGCACCGCCUUCAGCCCAGGGCCUGAUCCUGGAGACCCGGGAUCGAGUCCUACAUAGGGCUCGCUGCAUGGAGGCUGCCUCUAUGUAUCUCUCAUGAAUAAAUAAAUAAAAUCUUAAAAAUAUAAAAAGGAGCCCUGGAAUUAUUCCCACUACGAGGAUUCUCCUUACUUUAUAAAUUAAAAAUGAACCCAGGAAAAAUGC
Long non-coding RNA from Nyctereutes procyonoides (raccoon dog), 1570 nucleotides. RefSeq lists it as uncharacterized. The transcript is spliced from 3 exons. The record is from RefSeq and is a predicted model, not a curated record. NCBI's taxonomy places the organism in Eukaryota, Metazoa, Chordata, Mammalia, Carnivora, Canidae.